GACGAACGCUGGCGGCGUGCUUAACACAUGCAAGUCGAACGGAAAGGCCCUGCUUUUGUGGGGUGCCCGAUUGGCGAACGGGUGAGUAACACGUGAGUAACCUGCCCUUGACUUUGGGAUAACUUCAGGAAACUGGGGCUAAUACCGGAUCGGAGCUCCUGCUGCAUGGUGGGGGUUGGAAAGCUUCGGCGGUUGGGGAUGGACUCGCGGCUUAUCGGCUUGUUGGUGGGGUAGUGGCUUACCAAGGCUUUGACGGGUAGCCGGCCUGAGAGGGUGACCGGCCACAUUGGGACUGAGAUACGGCCCAGACUCCUACGGGAGGCAGCAGUGGGGAAUAGUGCACAAUGGGCGGAAGCCUGAUGCAGCAACGCCGCGUGCGGGAUGACGGCCUUCGGGUUGUAAACCGCUUUCGCCUGUGACGAAGCGUGAGUGACGGUAAUGGGUAAAGAAGCACCGGCUAACUACGUG
Molecule: ribosomal RNA, 468 nt
Filed under: uncultured bacterium
Lineage: Bacteria
Description: partial 16S ribosomal RNA
Rfam family: Bacterial small subunit ribosomal RNA
Source: RNAcentral